ACAGUGGUGGUUCAGUGGUAGAAUUUUCGCCUUCCAUGUGGGAGACCGGGGUUUAAUUCCUGGCCAAUGUA
This 71-nucleotide transfer RNA is filed under the name Loxodonta africana (African savanna elephant). It matches the Rfam family "tRNA". From Rfam's summary of the family: Transfer RNA (tRNA) molecules are approximately 80 nucleotides in length. Their secondary structure includes four short double-helical elements and three loops (D, anti-codon, and T loops). Further hydrogen bonds mediate the characteristic L-shaped molecular structure. tRNAs have two regions of fundamental functional importance: the anti-codon, which is responsible for specific mRNA codon recognition, and the 3' end, to which the tRNAs corresponding amino acid is attached (by aminoacyl-tRNA synthetases). tRNAs cope with the degeneracy of the genetic code in two manners: having more than one tRNA (with a specific anti-codon) for a particular amino acid; and 'wobble' base-pairing, i.e. permitting non-standard base-pairing at the 3rd anti-codon position. The record is from Rfam by way of RNAcentral. Lineage: Eukaryota; Metazoa; Chordata; Mammalia; Proboscidea; Elephantidae.